RNAcentral lists this ribosomal RNA (252 nucleotides) under uncultured bacterium. RNAcentral's name for it is "partial 16S ribosomal RNA". It matches the Rfam family "Bacterial small subunit ribosomal RNA", at positions 524 to 776 of the family's 1533-position model. The record is from RNAcentral.
UACGUAGGGGGCAAGCGUUGUCCGGAAUCAUUGGGCGUAAAGCGCGUGUAGGCGGCCAGGUAAGUCCGUUCUGAAAGCCCGGGGCUCAACCCCGGGAGGCGGAUGGAUACUGCUUGGCUCGAGUCCGGAAGAGGCGGGUGAAUUCCCGGUGUAGCGGUGAAAUGCGCAGAUAUCGGGAGGAACACCAAUGGCGAAGGCAGCUCGCUGGGACGGUACUGACGCUGAGACGCGAAAGCGUGGGGAGCAAACAGG